RNAcentral lists this long non-coding RNA (206 nucleotides) under Mytilus galloprovincialis (Mediterranean mussel). The record is from RNAcentral. Lineage: Eukaryota; Metazoa; Mollusca; Bivalvia; Mytilida; Mytilidae.
AAAUCAAUGAAAUUUAAACACAAGGUAUAUGACCACAAAAGGAAGGUUGGGAUUGAUUUUGGGAAUUGAGGUCCCUACAGUUUAGGAACUAGGGACCAAAAAGGGGCUCAAAUAAGCAUUUUUCUUGGUUUUCGCACCAUAACUUUAGUAUGAGUAAAUAGAAAUCUAUGAAAUUUAAACACAAGGUUUUUGACCAUAAAAGGAAG